Molecule: ribosomal RNA, 316 nt
Filed under: uncultured cyanobacterium
Lineage: Bacteria; Bacillati; Cyanobacteriota
Description: bacterial SSU rRNA
Rfam family: Bacterial small subunit ribosomal RNA
Source: RNAcentral
GACUAACGCUGGCGGCGUGCCUAACACAUGCAAGUCGAACGGGGGUAGCAAUACCCCAGUGGCAGACGGGUGAGUAACGCGUAGAUAACGUGCCCUUUUGUUGGGGAUAGCCACUGGAAACGGUGGGUAAUACCGAAUAUGGUCGUCAGGCCUCCUGGUCUGGCGAAGAAAGCAGCAAUGCGCAAGAGGAGCGGUCUGCGUCCUAUUAGCUAGUUGGUGGGGUAAUGGCCUACCAAGGCGACGAUGGGUAGCCGGUCUGAGAGGAUGAUCGGCCACACUGGCACUGAGAUACGGGCCAGACUCCUACGGGAGGCUG